UGAAAUUAAGAAGCACUACCUGAAAAAGUUCAAAGCAUUCACAGAUGAACUAAAGAAUGCAUUCAUCGAUGGCUUGAAGGCCCAUCUGGAGGGUGUGACUAACAGAGGAUGCUGAGGAUGGGGAAUACGGAUGAUGACUGGAAUUUGGGUGGAAAUAUUGUUUCAAGGCAUGUCACUCGGGGUGUGAGGACAAGUAAGCCGAGAGCAUCGAGAAAGACACCGGUGAUUGAAAAUGUUGAAGUGUGCGUGUUUAGGCUGGAGGAGUCGAUCAAGGACAUCAUUGAUUUUGUGAAAGAGGAGAGACUGAAGAGAGCAGAAAAGGAGAACUAAAAGAAGAGAGAUGAAGCUGAAGGUAAAAUCUGCUCUAUAUAUUAUAGAAGUUGUACAUUUUAUAUAAUCCCUUUUACUUAUAAAUAGAAUCUAUACCAUUCUUCAUCAACCGAUAUCUUAGUGUAUUAUAAACAGUAAAUACUUGAAAAUGCAGGUGUGCAGGUGCCAAGUCGGCAUUCAACGGCGAGGACUUUCCAUGAUGACAGCAGCAUUAAAGAAGCGCUCCUUAAGAUAGCAUCUUUGGAAUAGUCCUCCAUCAAUGCUGAUGAGGUGAUGAUCCCUGAGGUUGUAUCUGUUGUAGAGAAGAAAAAUCUCGAUGAAGGCGAUGAAGAAAAAGAAAAAGAAAAAAAUGAAGAAGAUGUUUGUGAAGAAGAAAACAAAGUUGAUAGAUUAGAUGGUGUGGAGAAGGGGGAUCUUGACGAAAGUAGGCAGGAUGAAGAUGAUAAAAAAUGAAAAAAGUUGUUGUGAAGAAGAAAAAAUGAAGGAGAUGGAGAGAAAAUAGAAGAUAAGAAAAUAGAAGAUAAGAAUGCACAAGAAGUAAAGAAAGAAGAGGGAGAAGAAGAGCAUAAAGAAGAAGGAAAAAAUGAUGUACCAGAGAAACAGAAGGCAUUGUGGAGAAAGAAAACGAGAAUGAAUUUCCAAACUUGGAUGAAUUUCUUAAUGUAGUUACUCAGGACAUAGACAAGAUGCAAGUGAAAGACGAAAAUAUUGAAUGUUUAGACAAUGUUUAAUUUUUAUUUGUGGCUGAUGAUUAUUUUUAUUAGACUAGACAAUCUUAAAUUUUAACUUUCAG
This 1123-nucleotide long non-coding RNA is filed under the name Capsicum annuum. Its description in RNAcentral is "long non-coding RNA (CANN_LNC008598)". The record is from RNAcentral. Lineage: Eukaryota; Viridiplantae; Streptophyta; Magnoliopsida; Solanales; Solanaceae.